UACGUAUGGUGCAAGCGUUAUCCGGAUUUACUGGGCGUAAAGGGAGCGCAGGCGGCGCGCCAAGUCUGAUGUGAAACCCCGGGGCUCAACCCCGGGCAUGCAUUGGAAACUGGCGGGCUGGAGUGCCGGAGAGGUAAGCGGAAUUCCUAGUGUAGCGGUGAAAUGCGUAGAUAUUAGGAGGAACACCGGUGGCGAAAGCGGCUCUCUGGUCUGUAACUGACGCUGAGGCUCGAAAGCGUGGGUAGCGAACAGG
RNAcentral lists this ribosomal RNA (253 nucleotides) under uncultured bacterium. Its description in RNAcentral is "partial 16S ribosomal RNA". It matches the Rfam family "Bacterial small subunit ribosomal RNA", at positions 524 to 776 of the family's 1533-position model. The record is from RNAcentral.